This 2925-nucleotide ribosomal RNA is filed under the name Escherichia coli. Its description in RNAcentral is "23S ribosomal RNA". It matches the Rfam family "Bacterial large subunit ribosomal RNA". Lineage: Bacteria; Pseudomonadati; Pseudomonadota; Gammaproteobacteria; Enterobacterales; Enterobacteriaceae. The record is from RNAcentral.
GGGUUGUGAGGUUAAGCGACUAAGCGUACACGGUGGAUGCCCUGGCAGUCAGAGGCGAUGAAGGACGUGCUAAUCUGCGAUAAGCGUCGGUGAGGUGAUAUGAACCGUUAUAACCGGCGAUUUCCGAAUGGGGAAACCCAGUGUGUUUCGACACACUAUCAUUAACUGAAUCCAUAGGUUAAUGAGGCGAACCGGGGGAACUGAAACAUCUAAGUACCCCGAGGAAAAGAAAUCAACCGAGAUUCCCCCAGUAGCGGCGAGCGAACGGGGAGCAGCCCAGAGCCUGAAUCAGUGUGUGUGUUAGUGGAAGCGUCUGGAAAGGCGCGCGAUACAGGGUGACAGCCCCGUACACAAAAUGCACAUACUGUGAGCUCGAUGAGUAGGGCGGGACACGUGGUAUCCUGUCUGAAUAUGGGGGGACCAUCCUCCAAGGCUAAAUACUCCUGACUGACCGAUAGUGAACCAGUACCGUGAGGGAAAGGCGAAAAGAACCCCGGCGAGGGGAGUGAAAAAGAACCUGAAACCGUGUACGUACAAGCAGUGGGAGCCUCUUAAUGGGGUGACUGCGUACCUUUUGUAUAAUGGGUCAGCGACUUAUAUUCUGUAGCAAGGUUAACCGAAUAGGGGAGCCGAAGGGAAACCGAGUCUUAACUGGGCGUUAAGUUGCAGGGUAUAGACCCGAAACCCGGUGAUCUAGCCAUGGGCAGGUUGAAGGUUGGGUAACACUAACUGGAGGACCGAACCGACUAAUGUUGAAAAAUUAGCGGAUGACUUGUGGCUGGGGGUGAAAGGCCAAUCAAACCGGGAGAUAGCUGGUUCUCCCCGAAAGCUAUUUAGGUAGCGCCUCGUGAAUUCAUCUCCGGGGGUAGAGCACUGUUUCGGCAAGGGGGUCAUCCCGACUUACCAACCCGAUGCAAACUGCGAAUACCGGAGAAUGUUAUCACGGGAGACACACGGCGGGUGCUAACGUCCGUCGUGAAGAGGGAAACAACCCAGACCGCCAGCUAAGGUCCCAAAGUCAUGGUUAAGUGGGAAACGAUGUGGGAAGGCCCAGACAGCCAGGAUGUUGGCUUAGAAGCAGCCAUCAUUUAAAGAAAGCGUAAUAGCUCACUGGUCGAGUCGGCCUGCGCGGAAGAUGUAACGGGGCUAAACCAUGCACCGAAGCUGCGGCAGCGACGUUUAUGCGUUGUUGGGUAGGGGAGCGUUCUGUAAGCCUGCGAAGGUGUACUGUGAGGUAUGCUGGAGGUAUCAGAAGUGCGAAUGCUGACAUAAGUAACGAUAAAGCGGGUGAAAAGCCCGCUCGCCGGAAGACCAAGGGUUCCUGUCCAACGUUAAUCGGGGCAGGGUGAGUCGACCCCUAAGGCGAGGCCGAAAGGCGUAGUCGAUGGGAAACAGGUUAAUAUUCCUGUACUUGGUGUUACUGCGAAGGGGGGACGGAGAAGGCUAUGUUGGCCGGGCGACGGUUGUCCCGGUUUAAGCGUGUAGGCUGAUUUUCCAGGCAAAUCCGGAAAAUCAAGGCUGAGGCGUGAUGACGAGGCACUACGGUGCUGAAGCAACAAAUGCCCUGCUUCCAGGAAAAGCCUCUAAGCAUCAGGUAACAUCAAAUCGUACCCCAAACCGACACAGGUGGUCAGGUAGAGAAUACCAAGGCGCUUGAGAGAACUCGGGUGAAGGAACUAGGCAAAAUGGUGCCGUAACUUCGGGAGAAGGCACGCUGAUAUGUAGGUGAAGUCCCUUGCGGAUGGAGCUGAAAUCAGUCGAAGAUACCAGCUGGCUGCAACUGUUUAUUAAAAACACAGCACUGUGCAAACACGAAAGUGGACGUAUACGGUGUGACGCCUGCCCGGUGCCGGAAGGUUAAUUGAUGGGGUUAGCGGUAACGCGAAGCUCUUGAUCGAAGCCCCGGUAAACGGCGGCCGUAACUAUAACGGUCCUAAGGUAGCGAAAUUCCUUGUCGGGUAAGUUCCGACCUGCACGAAUGGCGUAAUGAUGGCCAGGCUGUCUCCACCCGAGACUCAGUGAAAUUGAACUCGCUGUGAAGAUGCAGUGUACCCGCGGCAAGACGGAAAGACCCCGUGAACCUUUACUAUAGCUUGACACUGAACAUUGAGCCUUGAUGUGUAGGAUAGGUGGGAGGCUUUGAAGUGUGGACGCCAGUCUGCAUGGAGCCGGCCUUGAAAUACCACCCUUUAAUGUUUGAUGUUCUAACGUUGGCCCCUGAUCGGGGUUGCGGACAGUGUCUGGUGGGUAGUUUGACUGGGGCGGUCUCCUCCUAAAGAGUAACGGAGGAGCACGAAGGUUGGCUAAUCCUGGUCGGACAUCAGGAGGUUAGUGCAAUGGCAUAAGCCAGCUUGACUGCGAGCGUGACGGCGCGAGCAGGUGCGAAAGCAGGUCAUAGUGAUCCGGUGGUUCUGAAUGGAAGGGCCAUCGCUCAACGGAUAAAAGGUACUCCGGGGAUAACAGGCUGAUACCGCCCAAGAGUUCAUAUCGACGGCGGUGUUUGGCACCUCGAUGUCGGCUCAUCACAUCCUGGGGCUGAAGUAGGUCCCAAGGGUAUGGCUGUUCGCCAUUUAAAGUGGUACGCGAGCUGGGUUUAGAACGUCGUGAGACAGUUCGGUCCCUAUCUGCCGUGGGCGCUGGAGAACUGAGGGGGGCUGCUCCUAGUACGAGAGGACCGGAGUGGACGCAUCACUGGUGUUCGGGUUGUCAUGCCAAUGGCACUGCCCGGUAGCUAAAUGCGGAAGAGAUAAGUGCUGAAAGCAUCUAAGCACGAAACUUGCCCCGAGAUGAGUUCUCCCUGACUCUUUAAGGGUCCUGAAGGAACGUUGAAGACGACGACGUUGAUAGGCCGGGUGUGUAAGCGCAGCGAUGCGUUGAGCUAACCGGUACUAAUGAACCGUGAGGCUUAACCUUACAACGCCGAAG